RNAcentral lists this long non-coding RNA (492 nucleotides) under Volvox carteri. Its description in RNAcentral is "long non-coding RNA (VCAR_LNC000571)". Lineage: Eukaryota; Viridiplantae; Chlorophyta; Chlorophyceae; Chlamydomonadales; Volvocaceae. The record is from RNAcentral.
AGCUGCGGAAUGAGCAAGUGGAAGUACUUUUGGAGAUAAGCAGAAAGGAUGUGAAGAAUGACGAUGAAGGUAAGUUUAAGGCAACGCCGGGCAUGGCGACCCCAGAAGGUAUCCCAGCCUCCCCCUCACUCUAACACCUCACCUGCGCAAUGAACUCAUCGUAGCUGUAGUCAGCGGACAUUUUCAAGGUCGGCUAAACUCCGGAGCAUGAUGCGCCUCAAACGAGUCUAAUGUACUGCGAGAAGUGACUGUAGAGAUCCAUAACUAGAAGGACAAGUGCAUUUGCAACAAGCCGGUAAUUUUUACAGAUUCUUGCAUGUGGUUUUGCAUGAGGUGGCAUGCCUGCACCGGGAGGUAUGAGUACGAUGCAACUGGCUGACAAUGUCGCGAAGAGCCACUUUACGUGCAAGUAUGAUAAGUAGGGUCUGAGGUUCUAUAUUUUUAUUCAUAUUGUUUGACACAACAGUAAUGCCAUGUUGCAAAGGACGAGCG